This 479-nucleotide ribosomal RNA is filed under the name Roseobacter sp. HDEN5. RNAcentral's name for it is "bacterial SSU rRNA". It matches the Rfam family "Bacterial small subunit ribosomal RNA", at positions 380 to 877 of the family's 1533-position model. RNAcentral also lists the same sequence under 2 other names. Lineage: Bacteria; Pseudomonadati; Pseudomonadota; Alphaproteobacteria; Rhodobacterales; Roseobacteraceae. The record is from RNAcentral.
AGCCUGAUCUAGCCAUGCCGCGUGAGUGAUGAAGGCCCUAGGGUCGUAAAGCUCUUUCGCCAGGGAUGAUAAUGACAGUACCUGGUAAAGAAACCCCGGCUAACUCCGUGCCAGCAGCCGCGGUAAUACGGAGGGGGUUAGCGUUGUUCGGAAUUACUGGGCGUAAAGCGCGCGUAGGCGGACCAGAAAGUUGGGGGUGAAAUCCCGGGGCUCAACCCCGGAACUGCCUCCAAAACUCCUGAUCUAGAGUUCGAGAGAGGUGAGUGGAACUCCGAGUGUAGAGGUGAAAUUCGUAGAUAUUCGGAAGAACACCAGUGGCGAAGGCGGCUCACUGGCUCGAUACUGACGCUGAGGUGCGAAAGUGUGGGGAGCAAACAGGAUUAGAUACCCUGGUAGUCCACACCGUAAACGAUGAAUGCCAGUCGUCGGGCAGUAUACUGUUCGGUGACACACCUAACGGAUUAAGCAUUCCGCCUGGG